This 767-nucleotide ribosomal RNA is filed under the name Arthrobacter sp. RNAcentral describes it as "bacterial SSU rRNA". It matches the Rfam family "Bacterial small subunit ribosomal RNA", at positions 264 to 1042 of the family's 1533-position model. Lineage: Bacteria; Bacillati; Actinomycetota; Actinomycetes; Micrococcales; Micrococcaceae. The record is from RNAcentral.
CCUACCAAGGCGACGACGGGUAGCCGGCCUGAGAGGGUGACCGGCCACACUGGGACUGAGACACGGCCCAGACUCGUACGGGAGGCAGCAGUGGGGAAUAUUGCACAAUGGGCGGAAGCCUGAUGCAGCGACGCCGCGUGAGGGAUGACGGCCUUCGGGUUGUAAACCUCUUUCAGUAGGGAAGAAGCGUAAGUGACGGUACCUGCAGAAGAAGCGCCGGCUAACUACGUGCCAGCAGCCGCGGUAAUACGUAGGGCGCAAGCGUUAUCCGGAAUUAUUGGGCGUAAAGAGCUCGUAGGCGGUUUGUCGCGUCUGCUGUGAAAGACCGGGGCUCAACUCCGGUUCUGCAGUGGGUACGGGCAGACUAGAGUGAUGUAGGGGAGACUGGAAUUCCUGGUGUAGCGGUGAAAUGCGCAGAUAUCAGGAGGAACACCGAUGGCGAAGGCAGGUCUCUGGGCAUUAACUGACGCUGAGGAGCGAAAGCAUGGGGAGCGAACAGGAUUAGAUACCCUGGUAGUCCAUGCCGUAAACGUUGGGCACUAGGUGUGGGGGACAUUCCACGUUUUCCGCGCCGUAGCUAACGCAUUAAGUGCCCCGCCUGGGGAGUACGGCCGCAAGGCUAAAACUCAAAGGAAUUGACGGGGGCCCGCACAAGCGGCGGAGCAUGCGGAUUAAUUCGAUGCAACGCGAAGAACCUUACCAAGGCUUGACAUGAACCGGUAACGCCUGGAAACAGGUGCCCCGCUUGCGGUCGGUUUACAGGUGGU